RNAcentral lists this ribosomal RNA (507 nucleotides) under uncultured bacterium. RNAcentral describes it as "bacterial SSU rRNA". It matches the Rfam family "Bacterial small subunit ribosomal RNA", at positions 19 to 518 of the family's 1533-position model. The record is from RNAcentral.
CUGGCUCAGGAUGAACGCUAGCGACAGGCUUAACACAUGCAAGUCGAGGGGCAGCAUAAAAGUAGCAAUACUUGGUGGCGACCGGCGCACGGGUGAGUAACGCGUAUGCAACCUACCUAUCAGAGGGGAUAACCCGGCGAAAGUCGGACUAAUACCGCAUAAAACAGGGGCACCGCAUGGUGAUAUUUGUUAAAAAUUUAUUGCUGAUAGAUGGGCAUGCGUUCCAUUAGGUAGUUGGAGAGGUAACGGCUCACCAAGCCCACGAUGGAUAGGGGAACUGAGAGGUUGGUCCCCCACACUGGUACUGAGACACGGACCAGACUCCUACGGGAGGCAGCAGUGAGGAAUAUUGGUCAAUGGGCGAGAGCCUGAACCAGCCAAGUCGCGUGAAGGAAAGAAGGAUCUAUGGUUCGUAAACUUCUUUUGCAGGGGAAUAAAGUGCAGGACGUGUCCUGUUUUGUAUGUACCCUGAGAAUAAGGAUCGGCUAACUCCGUGCCAGCAGCUGC